RNAcentral lists this ribosomal RNA (502 nucleotides) under uncultured Bacteroidota bacterium. RNAcentral describes it as "bacterial SSU rRNA". It matches the Rfam family "Bacterial small subunit ribosomal RNA", at positions 505 to 1007 of the family's 1533-position model. The record is from RNAcentral. Lineage: Bacteria; Pseudomonadati; Bacteroidota.
GUGCCAGCAGCCGCGGUAAUACGGAGGAUGCAAGCGUUAUCCGGAUUCAUUGGGUUUAAAGGGUGCGCAGGCGGGCCUGUUAGUCAGGGGUGAAAGCCUCCCGCUUAACGGGAGAUUGGCCUUUGAUACUGCAGGUCUUGAGUCUAGCUGAGGUAGGCGGAAUGUAGUAUGUAGCGGUGAAAUGCAUAGAUAUACUACAGAACACCCAUUGCGAAGGCAGCUUACCAAACUAGCACUGACGCUCAGGCACGAAAGCGUGGGUAGCAAACAGGAUUAGAUACCCUGGUAGUCCACGCCGUAAACGUUGAUCACUCGUUGUUGGCAAUACACCGUCAGCGACUCAGCAAAAGCAUUAAGUGAUCCACCUGGGGAGUACGAUCGCAAGGUUGAAACUCAAAGGAAUUGACGGGGGCCCGCACAAGCGGAGGAGCAUGUGGUUUAAUUCGAUGAUACGCGAGGAACCUUACCCCGGGCUUAAAUGUAGCGUGCAUUCCCGUGAAAA